Molecule: ribosomal RNA, 339 nt
Filed under: uncultured bacterium
Lineage: Bacteria
Description: bacterial SSU rRNA
Rfam family: Bacterial small subunit ribosomal RNA
Source: RNAcentral
UGCAUAUUUGACGUUACCUACACGAAGAAGCACCGGCUAACUCCGUGCCAGCAGCCGCGGUAAUACGGAGGGUGCGAGCGUUAAUCGGAAUUACUGGGCGUAAAGCGCAUGCAGGCGGCCUGUUAAGUCAGAUGUGAAAGACCCGGGGCGUUAACCUCGGAAUUGCAUUUGAAACUAGGCAGGCUAGAGUCUUGUAGAGGGGGGUAGGAAUUUCAGGUGUAGCGGUGAAAUGCGUAGAGAUCUGAAGGAAUACCAGUGGCGAAGGCGGCCCCCUGGACAAAGACUGACGCUCAGAUGCGAAAGCGUGGGGAGCAAACAGGAUUAGAUACCCCCUGGUAG